GACGAACGCUGGCGGCGUGCUUAACACAUGCAAGUCGAACGAUGAAGCCUAGCUUGCUAGGUGGAUUAGUGGCGAACGGGUGAGUAAUACGUGAGUAACCUACCUUUAACUCUGGGAUAAGCCUGGGAAACUGGGUCUAAUACCGGAUACGACCAAUCUCCGCAUGGGGUGUUGGUGGAAAGCGUUAUGUAGUGGUUAUAGAUGGGCUCACGGCCUAUCAGCUUGUUGGUGAGGUAACGGCUCACCAAGGCGACGACGGGUAGCCGGCCUGAGAGGGUGACCGGCCACACUGGGACUGAGACACGGUCCAGACUCCUACGGGAGGCAGCAGUGGGGAAUAUUGCACAAUGGGCGCAAGCCUGAUGCAGCGACGCCGCGUGAGGGAUGACGGCCUUCGGGUCGUAAACCUCUGUUAGCAGGGAAGAAGAGAGAUUGACGGUACCUGCAGAGAAAGCGCCGGCUAACUACGUG
Molecule: ribosomal RNA, 471 nt
Filed under: uncultured bacterium
Lineage: Bacteria
Description: partial 16S ribosomal RNA
Rfam family: Bacterial small subunit ribosomal RNA
Source: RNAcentral